RNAcentral lists this ribosomal RNA (266 nucleotides) under Staphylococcus epidermidis. RNAcentral's name for it is "partial 16S ribosomal RNA". It matches the Rfam family "Bacterial small subunit ribosomal RNA", at positions 1275 to 1533 of the family's 1533-position model. Lineage: Bacteria; Bacillati; Bacillota; Bacilli; Caryophanales; Staphylococcaceae. The record is from RNAcentral.
CAUAAAGUUGUUCUCAGUUCGGAUUGUAGUCUGCAACUCGACUAUAUGAAGCUGGAAUCGCUAGUAAUCGUAGAUCAGCAUGCUACGGUGAAUACGUUCCCGGGUCUUGUACACACCGCCCGUCACACCACGAGAGUUUGUAACACCCGAAGCCGGUGGAGUAACCAUUUGGAGCUAGCCGUCGAAGGUGGGACAAAUGAUUGGGGUGAAGUCGUAACAAGGUAGCCGUAUCGGAAGGUGCGGCUGGAUCACCUCCUUUCUAAGGA